This 124-nucleotide small nucleolar RNA is filed under the name Carlito syrichta (Philippine tarsier). RNAcentral's name for it is "Small nucleolar RNA SNORA40 (ENSTSYG00000024428.2)". It matches the Rfam family "Small nucleolar RNA SNORA40". From Rfam's summary of the family: The snoRNA ACA 40 belongs to the H/ACA family of snoRNAs and guides the pseudouridylation of 28S rRNA subunit at position U4565. NB This family has a high threshold value to exclude a large number of closely related sequences that do not appear to have conserved H and ACA boxes, and may be pseudogenes. The record is from Rfam by way of RNAcentral. Lineage: Eukaryota; Metazoa; Chordata; Mammalia; Primates; Tarsiidae.
AGCACUUGUGUUUGUUCUUGAUUAACUGAGGACAAAGACUGAUAGACAGGUACAAAAAAAUAAAUCCUCAUUUGAAUCCCAGAAUUCAUUGUUCAGGGUCAGUUUUGAUACAUAAAAGCAUAUU